This is a long non-coding RNA of Amphiprion ocellaris (clown anemonefish), 922 nucleotides long. The record is from Ensembl. Lineage: Eukaryota; Metazoa; Chordata; Actinopteri; Pomacentridae.
GUGCAGCCACCGUUGUUCUCAUAGAUAUGAAUGAGUAGAUAGGACACGCCCCUUUGAGCUGCGUGCUACAGCGAGGCUAAGCUAGUGGGGGCAAAAUUUCAGUGCAUUCCGUUGAUGUAGACGGCGUGAAAACGGAAACAGCAAGUAUGCCGGCUCACUGUGCUGCAUACAAUUACACACUAUGUCGUACGAUUGAGACAAGGAAACUUGGAAUGACUUUUCAUAGGUUUCCCAGAGACUAUGGGUUGAGGAGGAAGUGGAAGUUUGUCGGCUUAGACCUGUGUCAUUCCAUCAGUGUUAAACUUCCCGGCUCAUCUUGGAAGAGUACGUGCCAGAAAGACCACGACCAAGCAGCCUUGAGAUCUUAGGCAGCGUCUCCCUGAGGUCCCUCUCUAUCUCCCCACACAUGCACCAACCACUGGAACACAUCUCCAAAGUUCUGCCGGGCCAGCUCAGCUUCCCCUCAGAAGAAGUGCUGCCACCUGCCAGAUGAAGGAGCCUUUUGAGAGGCAGCUGGCAUCAUGAUUGGACUGUACUUUGGUCUGUUCCAGUCCAGCUUCAGCACCAGAGACGGCAGGCGGGACGAGUCAACGGAGGCCGGGUGGACGAAGGCAUGCAGCUGAGUACAAUCCAGAAAACAACAGAGGAGGAGUGCAGCGGCUCAGGGCCAGAACAAACAGAGUAGCAUCGUAUGUCUCUUAGAAAACAUCAUAGUAUAGCCUUUGGUAUGAAAAAACACCAUCAUAUACAUCGUAUAUUGUACAAAUAACAAGUCAAAGGAAAGAGACAUACAUUGUAGAAUUGUAGUAAUUGUGGACUGACUGAUUUACUGAUUAUCAGUAUUUUAUUUUUUACUGAUUUACGGUAAUAAAUAAAUUUAAAAAUGGUGCUACUUUGGCUCCGAACCUUAAUCUACCUGUGG